This 400-nucleotide ribosomal RNA is filed under the name uncultured bacterium. Its description in RNAcentral is "bacterial SSU rRNA". It matches the Rfam family "Bacterial small subunit ribosomal RNA", at positions 108 to 518 of the family's 1533-position model. The record is from RNAcentral.
GAGUAAUGUAUCGAGCGAACCUGCCUUUCAGAGGGGACAACAGUUGAAACGACUGCUAAUACCGCGUAACGUAUCGUGAGGGCAUCCUCGUGAUACCAAAGGAGCAAUCCGCUGAAAGAUGGGCUCAUAUCGUGAUUAGCUUGUUGGCGGGGUAACGGCCCACCAAGGCGACGAUCACGUAGCCGGACUGAGAGGUUGAACGGCCACAUUGGGACUGAGAUACGGCCCAGACUCCUACGGGAGGCAGCAGUGGGGAAUAUUGGGCAAUGGGCGAAAGCCUCGACCCAGCAACGCCGCGUGAAGGAAGAAGGUCUUCGGAUUGUAAACUUCUUUUAUGAGGGACGAAGGACGUGACGGUACCUCAUGAAUAAGCCACGGCUAACUACGUGCCAGCAGCCGC